This 8182-nucleotide long non-coding RNA is filed under the name Homo sapiens (human). RNAcentral describes it as "non-protein coding lnc-ARFGEF3-3:1". Lineage: Eukaryota; Metazoa; Chordata; Mammalia; Primates; Hominidae. The record is from RNAcentral.
UUUCAAUAUUAUUUUAAUAUUUUAAUUUAAUUAUUUUAUAUUUUUCUAUUUUUAUUGAGAACUUCAGCAAGGGUUCUGUGUCCCCACCCAAAUCUCAUCUUGAAUUGUAGCUCCCAUAACUCCUACAGGUUGUGGGAGGAACCCGGUGGGAGAUAACUGAAUUAUGGGGGCAGUUUCCCCCCAUACUGUUCUCAUGGUAGUAAAUAAGUCUCACAAGAUCUGAUGUGUUUAUAAGGGGUUCCCCUUUCACUUGGCUCUCAUUCUCUCUUGUCUGCCGCCAUGUAAGAUGUGCCUUUCACCUUCUACCAUGAUUGUGAGGCCUCCCCAGUACUGUAAGUCCAUUAAGCCUCUUUUUCUUUAUAAAUAACCCAGUCUCAGGUAUGUCUUUAACAGCAGCAUGAAAACAGACUAAUACAGUAAAUUGGUACCGGUAGAGUGGAGUGCUGCUGUAAAGAUACCCAAAAAUGUGGAAGUGACUUUGGAACUGGGUAACAGGCAGAGGCUGGAACAGUUUGGUGGGCUCAGAAGAAAACAGGAAAAUGUGGGAAAGUUUGGAACUUCCUAGAGGCUUGUUGAAUGGCUUUGACCAAAAUGCUGAUAGUAAUAUGGACAAUAAAAUCCAGGCUGAGGUGACCUCAGAGGGAGAUGAGAAACUUGUUGGGAACUGGAAUAAAGGUGACUCUUGUUAUGUUUUAGCAAAGAGACUGGUGGCAUUUUGCCCCUGCCCUAGAGAUUUGUGGAACUUUGAACUUGAGGGAGAUGAUUCAGGGUAUCUGGCAGAAGAAAUUUCUAAGGAGCAAAGCAUUCAAGAGGUGACUUGGGUGCUGUUAAAGGCACUAAGUUUUAAAAGGAAAACAGCAUAAAAGUUUGGAAAAUGUGCAGCCUGAAUAUGUGGUAGAAAAACAAAAAAAACAUUUUCUAAGGAGAAAUUCAAGCCAGCUGCAGAAAUUUGCAUAAGUAACAAAAAGCCAAAUAUUAAUCACCAAGACAAAGGGGAAAAUGUCUCCAGGGCAUGUCAGAGACAUUUGCAGCAGCCCCUCCCAUCACAAGCCCAGAGGUCUAGGAGGAAAAAAUGGUUUCAUGGGCUGGCCCAGGGCCCCCCUGCUAUGUGCAGUCUAGUGACUUGGUGCCUUACGUCCCAGCCACUCUAGCCAUGGCUAAAAGCGGUCAAAGUAGACUGGGUGCAGUGGCUCACACCUGUAAUCCCAGCACUUUGGGAGGCCGAGGCAGGUGGAUCACCUGAGGUCAGGAGUUCGAGACCAGGCUGGCCAACAUGGUGAAACCUCGUCUCUACUAAAAAUACAAAAAUUAGCCAGGCAUGAUGGCAUGUGCCUGUAAUCCCAGCUACUCGGGAGGCUGAGGCAGGAGAGUCGCUUGAACUCAGGAGGUAGAGGUUGGGGUGAGCUAAGAUCAUGCCAUUGCACUCCAGCCUGGUGACAGAGCAAGACUCCAUCUCAAAAAAAUAUAAAAAUACAAAUAAAGGGGGGCCAAGGUAUAGCUCAGGUUGUGGCUUCAGAGGGUGCAAGCCACAAGCCUUGGCAGCUUCCAUGUGGUGUUGGGCCCGCGAAUGCACAGAAGUCAAGAGUUGGGGUUUGGGAACAUUUGCCUAGAUUUCAGAGGAUGUAUGGAAAUGCCUGGAUGUCUAGGCACAAGUUUGCUGCAGCGGCAGUACCCUCAUAGAGAAGCUCUGCUAGGGCAGUGUAGAAGGGAAAUGUGGGAUUGAAGGCCCCACACAGAGUCUUCACUGGGGUACUGCCUAAUGGAGCUGUGAGAAGAGGAUCACCGUCCUCCAGACCCCAGAAUGGUAGAACCACCAGCAGCUUGCAUUGUGCACCUGGAAAAGCUGCAGACACUCAAUGCCAGCUCACGAAAGCAGCCAGAAGGGAGGCUGUACCUUGCAAAGCCACAGGGGCAGAGCUGCCCAAGACCAUGGGAACCCACCUCUUGCAUCAGCAUGACCUGGAUGUGAAACAUAGAGGCAAAGGAGAUCAUUUUGGAGUUUUAAGAUUUGACUGCCCCACUGGAUUUUGGACUUGCAUGGGGCCUUUAGCCCCUUCAUUUUGGCUCAUUUCUCCCAUUUGGAAUGGGUGUAUUUAUCCAAUGCUUGUACCUCCAUUGUAUCUAGGAAGUAACUGACUUGCUUUUGAUUUUACAGGCUCAUAGGCAGAAGGGACUUGCCUUGUCUCGGAUGAAACUUUGGACUGUGGACAUUUGAGUUAAUGCUGAAAUGAGUUAAGACUUUGGGGGACUGUUGGGAAGGCAUGAUUGGUUUUGAAAUGUGAAGACAUGAGAUUUGAGAGGGCCCAGGGGUGGAAUGAUAUGGUUUGGAUGUGUCCGCACCCAAAUAUCAUUUUGAAUUGUGGCUCCUAUAAUUCUUACAUGCUGUGGGAGGGAACUGGUGGGAGAUAAUUGAAUCAUGGGGGCAGUUCCCCAUACUGUUCUCCUGGUAGUAAAUAAGUCUCAUGAAAUACGAUUUUUUUUUUUUUUUAGACAGUUUCACUCUUGUUGCCCAGGCUGGAGUGCAAUGAUGCGCUCUUGGCUCACUGCAACAUCUGCCUCCUAGGUUCAAGCUAUUCUCCUGUCUCAGCCUCCUGAGUAGCUGGGAUUACAGGCACCCACUAUGACGCCUGGCUAAUUUUUUUUGUAUUUUUAGUAGAGACAGGGUUUCACUAUGUUGGCCAGGCUGGUCUUGAACUUCUGGCCUCAGGUGAUCCUCCCAUCUUGGCCUCCCAAAAUGCUGGGAUUGCAGGCAUAAGCCACCACACCCAGCUGAGAUCUGAUGUUUUUAUAAGGGGUUUCCCUUUCUCUUGGCUCUCAUUCUGUCUUGCCUGCUGCCAUUUAAGAGGUGACUUUCGCCUUUCACCAUGAUUGUGAGGCCUCCUCAGCCACGUGGAACUGUGAGUCCAUUAAACCUCUUUUUCUUUAUAAAUUACCCAGUCUCAGGUAUGUCUUUAUCAGCAGCAUAGGAACAGACUAAUACAGGUUCUAUGGACAGAGCUCUGAUCUCUCCCUGGGAUAGAGUUCCUGGGUAGAGGGAUAGCCACCAUCUCUGUGGUUCAGUAGACUCAGCUGUUCCAACCUGCUGGUUUUGGAGAAUACAAACAGUCCUGACAAGGAAGAGUUCUUCCAAAUUGAGUACACCUGCUCUAUUAAAAACCAGCCAGACUGUUUCUUUAAGCAGGUCCCUGAUCCUGUUCCUCCUGAGUGGGUAAGACUUCCCAACAGGGUCUCCAGCAACCUUCUACAGGAAUGUUCAGGACAGCAACAGGUCAGUACCACCCUAAGAUGGAGCUUCCAGAGGAAGGAGCAGGCUGCUGUCUUUGCUGUUUUGCAGUCUUCACUGGUGAUACCUCCAGGUACAAGAAAACCGAGGCAACUGAGGUCUGGAGUAGACCCACAGCAAACCACAGCACCCCUACAGUAGAGAGGCCUGACUGUUAAAAAAAAAAAAUCAGAAAAUAUCAACAACAUCAACAAAAAAGAUCCCACACAAAAAAAAAACCCAAAGGUCAACAACCUCAAAAACUGAAGGUAGAUAAGCCCACAAAGAUGAGAAACAAACAAUGCAAAAACACUGAAAACACAAAAAACCAGAGUGCUUCUUCUCCAAAUGACUGCAACACAUUUUUUAGCAAGGGCACUGAACUGUGCUGAGGCUGAGAUAGCUGAGUUGACAGAAGUAGGCUUCAGAAGGUGGGUAAUAAUGAACUUUGCUGAGCUAAAGGAGCAUGUUAUAACCCAAUACAAAGAAGCUAAGAAUCAUAAUAAAAUAAUACAAUAGCUGAUACCAGAACAACCAGUUUUGAGAGGAACAUAAAAGACCUGAUAGAGCUGAAAAAUAUAACUUGAGAACUUCACAACUUCACAAUCACAAGUAUCAAUAGCUAAAUAGACCAAGUGGAGGAAAGAAUCUCAGAGCUUGAAGACUAUCUUUCUGAAAAAGACAAGGCACAGAAGAAUAGAGAAAAAAGAAUGAAAAGGAAUGAACAAAACCUCCAAGAAAUAUGGGAUUAUGUAAAGAGACAACCUAUGACUGAUUGAGGUAACUGAAAGAGACAGAGUAUGGAACCAAGUUGGAAAACAUACUUCAGGGUAUCAUCCAGGAGAACUUUCCCAACCUAGCAAGACAGGCCAACAUUCAAAUUCAGGAAAUGCAAAGAUCACCACUAAGAUACUUUAUGAAAAAUCAACCCCAAGACACACAAUCAUCAGAGUCUCCAAGGUUGAAAUGAAAGAAAAAAUGUUAAGAGAAGCCAGAGAGAAAGGCCAGGUCACCUACAAAGGGAAGCCCAUCAGACUAACAGCAGAACUCUCAGUGGAAACCCUAUAAACCAGAAAAGACUGGGGGCCAAUAUCAACAUUCUCAAAGAAAAAAAGAAUUUCCAACCCAGAAUUGCAUAUCCAGCCAAACUAAGCUUCAUAAGCAAAGGCGAAAUAAGAUCUUUUUUAGACAAGCAAAUGCUGAUGAAAUUCAUCACCACCAGGACUGCCUUGCCAGAGCUCCUGGAGGAAGUGCUAAAUAUGGAAAGAAAAAACCAUUAUAAGCCAUUACAAAAACACAGAGAUACAUAGACCAGUGACACUAUGAAGCAACCACAUGAACAAGUCUGCAAAAUAACCAGCUAGCAUCAUGAUGAUAGGAUCAAAUUCACACAUAACAAUACUAACCUGAAAUGUAAAUGAGCUAAAUGCCCAAAUUAAAAGACACAGAAUGGCAAGCUGGAUAAAGAGCCAAAACCCAUCCGUAUGUCAUCUUUAAGAGACUCAUCUCAUGUGCAAAGAUACACAUAGGCUCAAAAUAAAUGGAUGGAGGAAAAUUUACCAAGCAAAUGGAAAACAGAAAAAACCAGAGGUUGCAAUCCUACUUUCUGGCAAAACAGACUUUAAACCAACAAAAAGUCAAAGAACACAAGGAAGGACAUUAUAUAAUGGUAAUGGGUUCAAUUCAACAAGGAGCGCUAACUAUGCUAAAUAUAUAUGUACUCAAUGCUGGAUCACCCAGAUUCAUAAAGCAAGUUCUUAGAGAGACUUAGACUCCCAUACAAUAAUAGUGGGAGACAGAUCAUUGAGACAGAAAAUUUCCAAAGAUAUUCAGGACCUGAACUCAACUCUGGAUCAAGUAUACCUGAUAGAUAUCUACAGAACUCUCUAUCCAAAAACAAGAGAAUAUACAUUCUUCUCAUCGCCAUAUGGCACUUACUCUAAAAUUGAUGACAUAAUCAAAAGUAAAACUCCUCAGCAAAUGCAAGGGAAUUGAAAUCAUAACAGUCUCUCAGACCACAGCACAAUCAAAUUAGAACUCAAGAUUAAGAAAUGUACUCAAAAGCACACAACUGCAUAGAAAUUGAACAUCCUGCUCCUGAAUGACGCUUGGGUAAACAAUGAAAUUAAGGCAGAAAUCAAGAAAUUCUUUGGAACUAAUGAGAACAAAGAGACAACAUACCAGAAUCUCUGGGAUGCAGCUAACAGUGUUAAGAGGGAAACUUAUGGCACUAAAUGCUCACAUCAAAAAGUUAGAAAGAUCUCAGGUUAACAACCUAAUAUCUCAACAAAAAUAACUACAGAACUAAGAGAAAACAAACACCAAAGCUAGCAGAAGACAAGAAAGAAUCAAGAUCAGAGCUGAAAUGAAGGAGACAGACACACAAAAAACCCUUUUAAAAAAAAUCAAUGAAUCCAGGAGCUGGCUUUUUGGAAAAAAAUAAUAAAUGAGAUAGGCCAGUAACUAGACUAAUAAAGGAGAGACGAAUCAAAUAGACACAAUCAGAAAUGAUAAUGAUGGGGUAUCGCCAGUGAUCCCACAGAAAUACAGAUAACCAUCAGAGAAUACGAUAAACACCUCUAUGCACAUAAACUAGAAAAUCUAGAAUAAAUGGAUAAAGUCCUGGACACAUAACACCCUCCCAAGACUGAAUCAGGAAGCAACUGAAUCCCUGAAUACAUCAAUAAUGAAUUCUGAAAUUGAGGCAGUAAUAAAUAGCCUACAAACCGAAAAAAAAAGCCCAGGACCAGAUGGAUUUACAGCUGAAUUCUACCAGAGGUACAAAGAAGAGCUGGUACCAUUUCUACUGGAGCUAUUCCAAACAAUGGAAAUGGAGGGACUCCUCCCUAACUUAUUCUAUGGGGCCAGCAUCAUCCUGAUACUAAAACCUAGCAGAGAUACAACAACAACAAAAUUCAGGCCAAUAUCCUUGAUGAAUAUCUAUGCAAAAAUCUUCAAUAAAAUACUAGCAAACUGAAUCCAGCAGCACAUCAAAAAGCUUAUCCACCACAAUCAAGUUGGCUUCAUCCCAGGAUGCAAGGUUGAUUCAACAAACACACAUCAAUAAAUGUGAUUCAUCACAUAAACAGAACUAAAGACAAAAACCACAUGAUUAUCUCAAUAGAUGCAGAAAAGACCUCUGAUAAAAUUCAACAUUCUUUCAUGUUAAAAAUUCUCAAUAAACUAGGUAUUGAAGGAACAUACCUCAAAAUAGUAAGAGCCAUCUAUGACAAACCCACAGCCAAUGUCAUAUCGAAUGGUCAAAAGCUGGAAGCAUUCCCUUUAAAAAUAAGCACAAGAAAAGGAUGCCCUCUCUCACCACUCCUAUUCAACACAGCAUUGGAAGUUCUGGCCAGGGCAGUCAGGCAAGAGAAAGAUAUAAAGCAUAUUCAAAUAGGAAAGGAGGAAAUCAAACCUUUAUUUGCAGAUGACAUGAUCCUGUAUCUAGAAAACCCUAUAGUCUCAGCCCAAAAGCUUCUUAAGCUGAUAAACAACUUCAGCAGUCUCAGGAUACAAAAAGCAAGUGCAAAAAUCACUAGCAUUCCUAUACACCAACAACAGGCAAGCAGAGAGCCAAAUCAUGAAUGAACUCCCAUUCACAGUUGCUACAAAAAGAAUAAAAUACCUAGGAAUAGACCUAACAAGGGAAGUGAAGGAUCUCUUCAAGGAGAGCUACAAGUCACUGCUUGAGGAAAUCAGAGAGGAUAUAAACAAAUGGGAAAACAUUCCAUGCUCAUGGAUAGGAAAAAUCAAUAUUGUGAAAAUGGCCAUACUGCCCAAAGUAAUUUAUAGAUUCAAUGCUGUUCCUAUUAAACUACCAUUAACAUUCUUCACAGAAUUAGAAAAACUAUUUUAAAAUUCAUAUGGAAGCAAGAAAGAGGCUGAAUAGCCAAGACAAUCCUAAGCAAAAAGAACAAAGCUGGAGACAUCAUGCAAUCCAACUUCAAACUAUACCACAAGGUUACAGUAACCAAAACAGCAUGGUACUGGUAUAACAGACACAUAGAUCAAUGGAACAGGAAAGAGACCUCCGAAAUAAGACCACACACCUACAACCAUCUGAUCUUCAACAAACCUGACAAAAACAAACAAUGAGAAAAGGGAUCCCUGCUUAAUAAACAGUGCUGGGAAAACCAGGUACUCAGGAGUCUCAGGCAGGAGAAUUGCUUGAACCCCAGAAAUGGAGGUUGCAGUGAGCUGAGAUCAUGCUACUGCACUCCAGCCUGGGUGGCAGAGUGAGACUCUGUCUCAAAAAAAAAAGACCUAGAGGCAGAAAUACAAUUUGACUCAGUAAUCCCAUUAUUGGAUAUAUACCCAAAGGGAUAUAAAUCAUUAUAAAGAUACAAACAAGUGUAUAUUCCUUGCAGCACUAUUCACAAUAGCAAAGACAUGGAAUCAACUGAAAUGCCCAUCAAUGAUAAACUAGAUAAACAAAAUGUGGUACGUAUACAUGACAUGGAAUACUAUGCAGCCAUAAAAAGGAAUGAGAUCAUGUCCUUUGCAGGGACAUGGACAGAGUUGGAAGCCAUUAUCCUCAGCAAACUAAUGCAGGAACAGAAAACCAAAAACUGCGUGAUCUCAUUUAUAAGUGGGAGUUGAAUGUUGACAACACAUGAACAAAUGGCAGGGAGCAACACACACUGGGGUCUGUCGGGGUCAGGGGAAGGGGGGAGGGAGAGCAUCAGGAAGAAUAGCUAAUGGAUGCUGGGCUUAAUACCUAGGUGAUGGGAUGAUCUGUGCAGCAAACCACCAUGACACACAUUUACCUAUGUAACAAACCUGCACAUCCUGCACAUGUAGCCCUGGACUUAAAAGUUGGAAAAAAAAAAAAAAAAACCUGUUUCCUAUACCCUCAUGGAAAAAGAUUAAUAUUUAUAUAUAAAUAUAGAAAUAAAAAAUAAUUCUGUUUUAAAUAUUAUU